This 159-nucleotide non-coding RNA is filed under the name Clostridium septicum. RNAcentral's name for it is "Lysine riboswitch". It matches the Rfam family "Lysine riboswitch aptamer". From Rfam's summary of the family: Riboswitches are metabolite binding domains within certain messenger RNAs that serve as precision sensors for their corresponding targets. Allosteric rearrangement of mRNA structure is mediated by ligand binding, and this results in modulation of gene expression. The record is from RNAcentral. Lineage: Bacteria; Bacillati; Bacillota; Clostridia; Eubacteriales; Clostridiaceae.
GAGAUAGAGGCGCAAAAAUUAUUAGUAACAUUAUUGAGUUAAGCACAGUGAGGUAAUGUGAAAGGAUUUUUUGCCGAAGUGUACGGGUAAUGCUUUAAUACCGUAUGCUGGUGUUGCAUAGAAUAUAUGUAAUACUGUCACAUUUGUGGAGCGCUAUCA